RNAcentral lists this ribosomal RNA (497 nucleotides) under uncultured bacterium. Its description in RNAcentral is "partial 16S ribosomal RNA". It matches the Rfam family "Bacterial small subunit ribosomal RNA", at positions 28 to 507 of the family's 1533-position model. The record is from RNAcentral.
GAUGAACGCUGGCGGCGUGCCUAAUACAUGCAAGUCGAGCGAACAGACGAGGAGCUUGCUCCUCUGACGUUAGCGGCGGACGGGUGAGUAACACGUGGAUAACCUACCUAUAAGACUGGGAUAACUUCGGGAAACCGGAGCUAAUACCGGAUAAUAUAUUGAACCGCAUGGUUCAAUAGUGAAAGACGGUUUUGCUGUCACUUAUAGAUGGAUCCGCGCCGCAUUAGCUAGUUGGUAAGGUAACGGCUUACCAAGGCAACGAUGCGUAGCCGACCUGAGAGGGUGAUCGGCCACACUGGAACUGAGACACGGUCCAGACUCCUACGGGAGGCAGCAGUAGGGAAUCUUCCGCAAUGGGCGAAAGCCUGACGGAGCAACGCCGCGUGAGUGAUGAAGGUCUUCGGAUCGUAAAACUCUGAUAUUAGGGAAGAACAAAAGUGUAAGUAACUAUGCACGUCUUGACGGUACCUAAUCAGAAAGCCACGGCUAACUACGUG